CCUGGCGGUAGCCUACACAUGCNAGUCGAACGGCAGCACAGAGGAGCUUGCUCCUUGGGUGGCGAGUGGCGGACGGGUGAGGAAUACAUCGGAAUCUACUUUUUCGUGGGGGAUAACGUAGGGAAACUUACGCUAAUACCGCAUACGACCUUCGGGUGAAAGCAGGGGACCUUCGGGCCUUGCGCGAUUGAAUGAGCCGAUGUCGGAUUAGCUAGUUGGCGGGGUAAAGGCCCACCAAGGCGACGAUCCGUAGCUGGUCUGAGAGGAUGAUCAGCCACACUGGAACUGAGUCACGGUCCAGACUCCUACGGGAGGCAGCAGUGGGGAAUAUUGGACAAUGGGCGCAAGCCUGAUCCAGCCAUACCGCGUGGGUGAAGAAGGCCUUCGGGUUGUAAAGCCCUUUUGUUGGGAAAGAAAAGCAGCAGGCUAAUACCCCGCUGUUCUGACGGUACCCAAAGAAUAAGCACCGGCUAACUUCGUGCCAGCAGCCGCGGUAAU
Molecule: ribosomal RNA, 498 nt
Filed under: uncultured bacterium
Lineage: Bacteria
Description: bacterial SSU rRNA
Rfam family: Bacterial small subunit ribosomal RNA
Source: RNAcentral